CCAAAUAAAACCCAAUUAACAUGGUAAAACCCAUUAAAACCCAUGGGUUUUAUAAUUUUUGAUUAAAACCCUGGGUUUUUUCGAACCCUGGUGGGACAGGAGGAUAACAAGUAGUACAUAAACCUCUCUCUCUCUCUCCUUCAACUAAAAAGGGGACAACGAUAACGACGACGACUUGUCAACUUUUCAUCCGGACAGGACACACACACACAAUCAUCUCGUCUUUGUCUCUCUCGACUCCAUUGAAUUUGGCCUGGCUGGCUGGAUGGAUGGAUUACUUUCGGAUUGAAUGGAUGGAUCGUAGUCCAGGCGACAAUCGCGAAACUGCGACGCUUUGACAAGUCCAGAAUGAAGACUGACUUGGGACUAGAAAAUGUCCUCUGUUUGGAAUAAUGUGGAGAAAAUGGACUAAUUUUAGCCAGCCAUCCAGUCCACUGGCUUGAGCGACAUGCCACUAAACGAUUCAUCCCUAAUCAUAUUACUUAGUGACUGCAUGCAGUGUGGCGGUGAAGUAUAUUGUAAUAAAGUAAAAGCGGUGGAGUGGAUGCAAUAAUGAAAUUGAAAAUGGUUGGUUUGCCACUUGUCAGUUAUUUUAGCGACAGGAAAGCAGGGACAAACAUUUGCAGAUUAUGUACGGGAGAGAGGAAAAAAGUGGGAAUAUUUAGUAGCACACGGUAGACGGUGGAGAAUCCAGUAGAUUCGUGGACGUGGAGCUAUGUGCAAACAAACGUGUGUUCUUCCAUCCAACCGUUCUAUUUUGGUUUGAGGGAACAUUAGCCGAGGAAGAGAAAGACACAUUCAAUUUACUUCAUUUCGCUCAGGAUGAGCAAUAUGUAGCAAUCGGGUAAAGACAUAAAGUACGCAAAAAAAAUGUGGGUAUAGUUACAUAGUUGUGCAAUGCAAUAUUUAUUAUGUAUGGGAUGGGAUGAUGACAUGAAAUAUUGUACCGUUCUGGGAAAGAUGCACUGUUAGAAAUCUGGUGUAAUUAAGGUGGUAUUGGUUUGUUGGUAGUAAAGUUGAUACCGAUUGGUAUUAAAGUGCGUUGUUAUACCGUUAAGUAAAAAAUAUGAUAAAACAUUAAUGCCGAGCUACAUUGCUUAUCAAUAUCGCUUUGGUAGAGUCAUAUGAAUACAGCUUGGUAUUGUUUUAACCCAGGAUUUCUAAGAGUGCGUUUGGUUUGGUGGAUUGGAUUGGAUUUGGAUACAUGCAAAUAUUCACGUUGCAGUAAAAAUGAAUGAUACUCUGUUUUUUUGCAUAAUAUUUGGAGUAGAAGAAGUAGCUUUUAUAUACAAGUUUAGUGAGCUUACAGUGGUUUUAUUUAGCAGAGAAGAAGCCAUGAAAUUAUACUAGCAGCGUUUCCCUCGCAGAGAAAGAAAGAAACAGUCACAAAUAUGUGGUGCAAGCAAACCCUCCUGUUUAAUAAUAUCCCUCUUUUUUAUGUAGGAUUGAACCUAAACACGGAGAAUUGGUUUUGCGAAUGGUAGGAUUUAUAUACAAGUUCGCUAAUAUUUAUGGGUUUUCUAUCCAGUUUACGCUACUUUCUUCCACCCAGAAGAGGAGGAGAUGAUAAUGAAGUGAAAUAAGAUGCCAAUCUUUUCGAGAGAUGUGUGUGUGAUUUUGAUUCAUGAGAUGUUUUUCAUAGUCCCAGUUUUAGUGUCGUGAUCUGUUACUUUCUGUGUAUAUUAACUUAGAAGCAAAAAAUAAGCUGAAUAAAUGUCUGAUUUACAGACAAGACAUGAA
Molecule: long non-coding RNA, 1740 nt
Organism: Folsomia candida
Lineage: Eukaryota; Metazoa; Arthropoda; Collembola; Entomobryomorpha; Isotomidae
Exons: 2
Source: RefSeq, a predicted model, not a curated record